UCCAAGACCAGAGGAAACCUAGCCCAGAGC
This 30-nucleotide non-coding RNA is filed under the name Homo sapiens (human). Lineage: Eukaryota; Metazoa; Chordata; Mammalia; Primates; Hominidae. The record is from RNAcentral.